GCGAAGCCCUGCGGGGCCCGUGUGAGCUUGCCGAAAAUCAGGUCAUUGAGGUUCGCUUUAGCGAAACUAUUCAAGUUAGCGUCGUUUAAAGAACGAGGGUAAGCACGACGUAA
Molecule: non-coding RNA, 113 nt
Organism: Arachis ipaensis
Lineage: Eukaryota; Viridiplantae; Streptophyta; Magnoliopsida; Fabales; Fabaceae
Source: RefSeq, a predicted model, not a curated record